UAAGACGGAGGAUGCAAGCGUUAUCCGGAAUUAUUGGGCGUAAAGCGUACGUAGGCGGUUUUAUAAGUCUGUUGUCAAAGCCCGAGGCUUAAUCUUGGAAAGGCAAUGGAAACUGUAAGACUAGAGAGAGAUAGGGGCAGGAGGAAUUCCAGGUGUAGCGGUGAAAUGCGUAGAUAUCUGGAAGAACACCAGUGGCGAAAGCGUCCUGCUGGAUCUCAACUGACGCUGAAGUACGAAAGCUAGGGGAGCGAAUGGGAUUAGAUACCCCAGUAGUCCUAGCCGUAAACGAUGGGUACUAGGUGUUGGCCGUAUCGACCCGGUCAGUGCCGUAGCUAACGCGUUAAGUACCCCGCCUGGGGAGUACGGUCGCAAGAUUGAAACUCAAAGGAAUUGACGGGGGCCCGCACAAGCGGUGGAGUAUGUGGUUUAAUUCGAUGCAACGCGAAGAACCUUACCAAGGCUUGACAUGUCGCGAAUCCUCCUGAAAGGGAGGAGUGCCUUCGGGAGCGCGAACACAGGUGGUGCA
Molecule: ribosomal RNA, 526 nt
Filed under: uncultured cyanobacterium
Lineage: Bacteria; Bacillati; Cyanobacteriota
Description: bacterial SSU rRNA
Rfam family: Bacterial small subunit ribosomal RNA
Source: RNAcentral